AGAACCCUGGUUCCUGUGACUGAAGCUGGCUCAAGGAUACAGCCGUGGGUGGGUACUGUGCCUCCCUUCUGUCCUGGCAUAGGAAGCACAAGGGCACUUUAAGCUCUACAACCCAGAUCAGCAUAAAUCUUGGAAUUUCUUGUGGACCAAGAGUGACAGACGUGAAACAAACUCACUUCUCAGCUGGUAACUCAAACAAUGAGUUGGUUUCAGAGGCUAUUUACAAACUCUGGAGAAGAAGAACUUCAGAAAAAAGUUGAAGAACUUCAGAAAAAAGUUGGU
Molecule: long non-coding RNA, 282 nt
Filed under: Sus scrofa (pig)
Lineage: Eukaryota; Metazoa; Chordata; Mammalia; Artiodactyla; Suidae
Description: lncRNA (ENSSSCG00060078707.1)
Source: RNAcentral